CGGAGGCGCUCAAAGGUUCCCUCAGAAUGGUUGGAAAUCAUUCAUAGAGUGUAAAGGCAUAAGGGAGCUUGACUGCGAGACCUACAAGUCGAGCAGGGUCGAAAGACGGACUUAGUGAUCCGGUGGUUCCGCAUGGAAGGGCCAUCGCUCAACGGAUAAAAGCUACCCCGGGGAUAACAGGCUUAUCUCCCCCAAGAGUUCACAUCGACGGGGAGGUUUGGCACCUCGAUGUCGGCUCAUCGCAUCCUGGGGCUGUAGUCGGUCCCAAGGGUUGGGCUGUUCGCCCAUUAAAGCGGUACGCGAGCUGGGUUCAGAACGUCGUGAGACAGUUCGGUCCCUAUCCGUCGUGGGCGUAGGAAAUUUGAGAGGAGCUGUCCUUAGUACGAGAGGACCGGGAUGGACAUACCUCUGGUGUACCAGUUGUCGUGCCAACGGCAUAGCUGGGUAGCUAUGUGUGGACGGGAUAAGUGCUGAAAGCAUCUAAGCAUGAAGCCCCCCUCAAGAUGAGAUUUCCCAACUUCGGUUAUAAGAUCCCUCAAAGAUGAUGAGGUUAAUAGGUUCGAGGUGGAAGCAUGGUGACAUGUGGAGCUGACGAAUACUAAUCGAUCGAAGACUUAAUCAA
RNAcentral lists this ribosomal RNA (622 nucleotides) under Staphylococcus aureus. RNAcentral's name for it is "partial 23S ribosomal RNA". It matches the Rfam family "Bacterial large subunit ribosomal RNA", at positions 2301 to 2925 of the family's 2925-position model. The record is from RNAcentral. Lineage: Bacteria; Bacillati; Bacillota; Bacilli; Caryophanales; Staphylococcaceae.